Molecule: ribosomal RNA, 600 nt
Filed under: uncultured bacterium
Lineage: Bacteria
Description: bacterial SSU rRNA
Rfam family: Bacterial small subunit ribosomal RNA
Source: RNAcentral
UAACGCGUACACAACAUACCUUCAGUGGGGGAUAGCAUUGGGAAACUGGUGGUAAUACCCCAUAACAUUGCGAGAUGGCAUUAUUUUGCAAUUAAAGUUCCGGCGCUUGAAGAUUGGUGUGCGUCUGAUUAGCUAGUUGGCGGGGUAACGGCCACCAAGGCGACGAUCAGUAGGGGGUGUGAGAGCAUGACCCCCCACAUGGGUACUGAGACACGGACCCAACUCCUACGGGAGGCAGCAGUAAGGAAUAUUGGACAAUGGGCGGAAGCCUGAUCCAGCCAUGCCGCGUGAAGGAUGAAGGCGCUCAGCGUUGUAAACUUCUUUUGGAUGGGGACAAUAACUUCCAUUUAUGGGAGCUUGAGGGUACCAUCAGAAUAAGCACCGGCUAACUCCGUGCCAGCAGCCGCGGUAAUACGGAGGGUGCAAGCGUUAUCCGGGAAUCACUGGGUUCUACAGGGGUGCGUAAGCUGUAAUAAGUCAGUUGUGAAUUCUCCGGUUUAACCGGAGUUGGACUGGCGGAAUCGGAUCACUUGGGUUAACUUUGGAAUUGGACGGGUCGAAGGGUCAAGCCGCAAAAUGGUGGGCCAUUGUCAACCCGGG